RNAcentral lists this ribosomal RNA (292 nucleotides) under uncultured bacterium. RNAcentral describes it as "partial 16S ribosomal RNA". It matches the Rfam family "Bacterial small subunit ribosomal RNA", at positions 505 to 796 of the family's 1533-position model. The record is from RNAcentral.
GUGCCAGCAGCCGCGGUAAUACGGAGGAUGCAAGCGUUAUCCGGAUUUAUUGGGUUUAAAGGGUGCGUAGGCGGAAACUUAAGUCAGUGGUGAAAUCCUGCAGCUUAACUGUAGCACUGCCAUUGAUACUGAGAUUCUUGAGUACGAUUGAGGUAGGCGGAAUGUGUAAUGUAGCGGUGAAAUGCUUAGAUAUUACACAGAACACCAAUUGCGUAGGCAGCUUACUAAGUCGCAACUGACGCUGAGGCACGAAAGCGUGGGGAUCGAACAGGAUUAGAUACCCCAGUAGUCC